GAUGAAGUACGUAGCGAAAUGCGAUAAGUAAUGUGAAUUGCAGAAUUCAGUGAAUCAUCGAAUCUUUGAACGCACAUUGCGCCCGCCAGUAUUCUGGCGGGCAUGCCUGUUCGAGCGUCAUUUCAACCCUCAAGACCCCUUCGGGGGACUUGGUGUUGGGGACCGGCACAGGGGCCUGCCUGCUUGUCUUGCAGCGCCCUCGCCGCCCCCGAAAUGAAUUGGCGGCCUCGUCGCGGCCUCCCCUGCGUAGUAGCACAACCUCGCAACGGGAACGUGACGGCGGCCACUGCCGUAAAACAACCCCAAUUUUAUUAGAGUUGACCUCGAAUCAGGUAGGAAUACCCGCUGAACUUAAGCAUAUCAAUAAGCGGAGGA
RNAcentral lists this unclassified non-coding RNA (375 nucleotides) under soil metagenome. RNAcentral describes it as "partial contains 5.8S ribosomal RNA, internal transcribed spacer 2, and large subunit ribosomal RNA". The stretch from base 1 to 120 matches the Rfam family "5.8S ribosomal RNA", at positions 35 to 154 of the family's 154-position model. The record is from RNAcentral.